GUUGGGUCUUGCGAAAGAAAACUCUGAAAAUGCCAUUUCAGACCAUCUAGAGACUCCAGAUUUUCGAAAUUUUCUCAAAUGUUCUGCCUUCAUUUCCGCGCAACUACCAUUUACGACGAAAAUUCCCGCCGCGCAUUUAUAAUACUACAGUCUGGCCCAUACUUUCCUGUAAAUUUCGACAUACUAUAACGCUGUUUUCUGACUAUCAGAAUUCUGUUAAAUCUUCCCCCAAAGUCCAGGAAAUGGCAUUUUAGAGACUCUAAAUUUAAAAAUUUGCUCGGGCCUUCGGCCCUCGCUUUCAGCCCCCCCAAUCGAAAAGAGCUUCCUACGGCCCUGAUGUCUAA
Molecule: non-coding RNA, 344 nt
Organism: Paramuricea clavata
Lineage: Eukaryota; Metazoa; Cnidaria; Anthozoa; Malacalcyonacea; Plexauridae
Source: the annotation of a GenBank genome assembly